Molecule: ribosomal RNA, 629 nt
Filed under: uncultured archaeon
Lineage: Archaea
Description: bacterial SSU rRNA
Rfam family: Archaeal small subunit ribosomal RNA
Source: RNAcentral
UAAUACUGGAUAGGCAAUUAUUCCUGUAAUGGUCUUUUGUUUAAAUGUUUUUUCGCCUAAGGAUGGGUCUGCGGCCGAUUAGGUAGUUGGUUAGGUAAUGGCUUACCAAGCCUUUGAUCGGUACGGGUUGUGAGAGCAAGAGCCCGGAGAUGGAACCUGAGACAAGGUUCCAGGCCCUACGGGGUGCAGCAGGCGCGAAACCUCCGCAAUGUGAGAAAUCGCGACGGGGGGAUCCCAAGUGCCAUUCUUAACGGGAUGGCUUUUCUUUAGUGUAAAAAGCUUUUGGAAUAAGAGCUGGGCAAGACCGGUGCCAGCCGCCGCGGUAACACCGGCAGCUCUAGUGGUAGCAAUUUUUAUUGGGCCUAAAGCGUCCGUAGCCGGUUUAAUAAGUCUCUGGUGAAAUCCUGUAGCUUAACUGUGGGAAUUGCUGGAGAUACUAUUAGACUUGAGACCGGGAGAGGUUAGAGGUACUCCCAGGGUAGAGGUGAAAUUCUGUAAUCCUGGGAGGACCGCCUGUUGCGAAGGCGUCUAACUGGAACGGUUCUGACGGUGAGGGACGAAAGUUAGGGGCGCGAACCGGAUUAGAUACCCGGGUAGUCCUAACUGUAAACGAUGCGGACUUGGUGUUG